GUACAUCCAGAGAACUUAGCAGAGAUGCUUUGGUGCCUUCGGGAACUCUGAGACAGGUGCUGCAUGGCUGUCGUCAGCUCGUGUUGUGAAAUGUUGGGUUAAGUCCCGNAACGAGCGCAACCCUUAUCCUUUGUUGCCAGCGGUUCGGCCGGGAACUCAAAGGAGACUGCCGGUGAUAAACCGGAGGAAGGUGGGGAUGACGUCAAGUCAUCAUGGCCCUUACGGCCAGGGCUACACACGUGCUACAAUGGCGCAUACAAAGAGAAGCGACCUCGCGAGAGCAAGCGGACCUCAUAAAGUGCGUCGUAGUCCGGAUUGGAGUCUGCAACUCGACUCCAUGAAGUCGGAAUCGCUAGUAAUCGUAGAUCAGAAUGCUACGGUGAAUACGUUCCCGGGCCUUGUACACACCGCCCGUCUACACCAUGGGAGUGGGUUGCAAAAGAAGUAGGUAGCUUAACCUUCGGGAGGGCGCUUACCACUUUGUGAUUCAUGACUGGGGUGAAGUCGUAACAAGGUAGGCGUAGCGAG
RNAcentral lists this ribosomal RNA (528 nucleotides) under uncultured bacterium. RNAcentral's name for it is "bacterial SSU rRNA". It matches the Rfam family "Bacterial small subunit ribosomal RNA", at positions 982 to 1509 of the family's 1533-position model. The record is from RNAcentral.